Molecule: ribosomal RNA, 305 nt
Filed under: uncultured bacterium
Lineage: Bacteria
Description: bacterial SSU rRNA
Rfam family: Bacterial small subunit ribosomal RNA
Source: RNAcentral
GUUUCCUACGGGAGGCAGCAGUAGGGAAUAUUGCUCAAUGGGGGAAACCCUGAAGCAGCAACGCCGCGUGGAGGAUGAAGGUUUUAGGAUUGUAAACUCCUUUUGUGAGAGAAGAUAAUGACGGUAUCUCACGAAUAAGCACCGGCUAACUCCGUGCCAGCAGCCGCGGUAAUACGGAGGGUGCAAGCGUUACUCGGAAUCACUGGGCGUAAAGAGUGCGCAGGCGGGCGUGUAAGUCAGAUGUGAAAUCCUGUAGCUUAACUACAGAACUGCAUUUGAAACUAUGAGACUAGAGGGGGGGGGAG